GGUUCCACAGUGUAGCGGUUAGCACUUCUGCUUUAUAUGCAGAUGGUCCUGGGUUCACACCUCAUUGGAACCA
Molecule: transfer RNA, 73 nt
Filed under: Pteropus alecto (black flying fox)
Lineage: Eukaryota; Metazoa; Chordata; Mammalia; Chiroptera; Pteropodidae
Rfam family: tRNA
About the family: Transfer RNA (tRNA) molecules are approximately 80 nucleotides in length. Their secondary structure includes four short double-helical elements and three loops (D, anti-codon, and T loops).
Source: Rfam by way of RNAcentral